Molecule: ribosomal RNA, 427 nt
Filed under: uncultured Acidobacterium sp.
Lineage: Bacteria; Pseudomonadati; Acidobacteriota; Terriglobia; Terriglobales; Acidobacteriaceae
Description: bacterial SSU rRNA
Rfam family: Bacterial small subunit ribosomal RNA
Source: RNAcentral
AACGCGAAGAACCUUACCUGGGCUCGAAAUGUAGUGGAAUCCGGUAGAAAUAUCGGCGUCUAGCAAUAGACCGCUAUAUAGGUGCUGCAUGGCUGUCGUCAGCUCGUGUCGUGAGAUGUUGGGUUAAGUCCCGCAACGAGCGCAACCCUUACCUCUAGUUGCUACCAUUUAGUUGAGCACUCUAGCGGAACCGCCUCGGAUAACGGGGAGGAAGGUGGGGAUGACGUCAAGUCCUCAUGGCCUUUAUGUCCAGGGCUACACACGUGCUACAAUGGCCGGUACAAACCGCUGCAAACCCGCGAGGGGGAGCUAAUCGGAAAAAGCCGGCCUCAGUUCGGAUUGGAGUCUGCAACUCGACUCCAUGAAGCUGGAAUCGCUAGUAAUCGUGGAUCAGCAUGCCACGGUGAAUACGUUCCCGGGCCUUGUA